Molecule: non-coding RNA, 205 nt
Organism: Hordeum vulgare subsp. vulgare (domesticated barley)
Lineage: Eukaryota; Viridiplantae; Streptophyta; Magnoliopsida; Poales; Poaceae
Source: Rfam
UCGUGAGACAGUUCGGUCCAUAUCCGAUGUGGGCGUUAGAGCAUUGAGAGGACCUUUCCCUAGUACGAGAGGACCGGGAAGGACGCACCUCUGGUGUACCAGUUAUCGUGCCUACGGUAAACGCUGGGUAGCCAAGUGCGGAGAGGAUAACUGCUGAAAGCAUAUAAGUAGUAAGCCCACCCCACGAUGAGUGCUCUCUCCUCCG